CAGUCGCCGCGGUAAUACGAAGGGGGCUAGCGUUGUUCGGAUUUACUGGGCGUAAAGGGAGCGUAGGCGGAUCGUUAAGUUGGGGGUGAAAGCCCCCGGCUCAACCGGGGAGGGUCAUUGGAAACUGGGAAACUUGAGUGCAGAAGAGGAGAGUGGAAUUCCACGUGUAGCGGUGAAAUGCGUAGAGAUGUGGAGGAACACCAGUGGCGAAGGCGACUCUCUGGUCUGUAACUGACGCUGAGGAGCGAAAGCGUGGGGAGCGAACAGGAUUAGAUACCCCAGUAGUCCCUGUCUCUUAUAA
Molecule: ribosomal RNA, 301 nt
Filed under: uncultured bacterium
Lineage: Bacteria
Description: partial 16S ribosomal RNA
Rfam family: Bacterial small subunit ribosomal RNA
Source: RNAcentral